This 468-nucleotide ribosomal RNA is filed under the name uncultured bacterium. RNAcentral describes it as "partial 16S ribosomal RNA". It matches the Rfam family "Bacterial small subunit ribosomal RNA", at positions 28 to 507 of the family's 1533-position model. The record is from RNAcentral.
GACGAACGCUGGCGGCGUGCUUAACACAUGCAAGUCGAACGGAAAGGCCCUGUUCUUGUGGGGUGCUCGAGUGCCGAACGGGUGAGUAUCACGUGUGUAACCUGUCCUUGUCUUCGGGAUAACUUCAGUAAACUCGGGUGCUUACCGGACAUGAGCUCCUGCUGCAUGGUGGGGGUUGGAAAGUUUCGGCGGUUGGGGAUGGACUCGCGGCUUAUCAGCUUGUUGGUGGGGUAGUGGCUUACCAAGGCUUUGACGGGUAGCCGGCCUGAGAGGGUGACCGGCCACAUUGGGACUGAGAUACGGCCCAGAGUCCUACGGGAGGCAGCGGUGGGAAAUAUUGCACGAUGGGCGGAAGCCUGAUGCAGCAACGCCGCGUGCGGGAUGACGGCCUGCGGGUUGUAAACCGCUUUCGCCUGGGACGAAGCGUGAGUGACGGUAAUGGGUAAAGAAGCACCGGCUAACUACGUG